This 396-nucleotide ribosomal RNA is filed under the name uncultured bacterium. RNAcentral describes it as "partial 16S ribosomal RNA". It matches the Rfam family "Bacterial small subunit ribosomal RNA", at positions 523 to 918 of the family's 1533-position model. The record is from RNAcentral.
AUACGUAGGUGGCGAGCGUUGUCCGGAAUUAUUGGGCGUAAAGAGCAUGUAGGCGGCUUAAUAAGUCGAGCGUGAAAAUGCGGGGCUCAACCCCGUAUGGCGCUGGAAACUGUUAGGCUUGAGUGCAGGAGAGGAAAGGGGAAUUCCCAGUGUAGCGGUGAAAUGCGUAGAGAUUGGGAGGAACACCAGUGGCGAAGGCGCCUUUCUGGACUGUGUCUGACGCUGAGAUGCGAAAGCCAGGGUAGCGAACGGGAUUAGAUACCCCGGUAGUCCUGGCCGUAAACGAUGGGUACUAGGUGUAGGAGGUAUCGACCCCUUCUGUGCCGGAGUUAACGCAAUAAGUACCCCGCCUGGGGAGUACGGCCGCAAGGUUGAAACUUAAAGGAAUUGACGGGG